This 209-nucleotide ribosomal RNA is filed under the name uncultured Anaerolineaceae bacterium. RNAcentral's name for it is "partial 16S ribosomal RNA". It matches the Rfam family "Bacterial small subunit ribosomal RNA", at positions 1176 to 1382 of the family's 1533-position model. The record is from RNAcentral. Lineage: Bacteria; Bacillati; Chloroflexota; Anaerolineae; Anaerolineales; Anaerolineaceae.
AGGAUGAUGUCAAGUCAGCAUGACCUUUUAUAUCCAGGGCUACACACACGCUACAAUGGCCUGUACAAUGGGUAGCCAAGCCGCGAGGCGGAGCCAAUCCUGAAAGCAGGCCUCAGUUUCAGAUUGCAGUCUGCAACUCGACUGCAUGAAGCCGGAGUUGCUAGUAACCGCAGGUCAGCAUACUGCGGUCGAAUACGUUCCCGGGCCUU